AUUGAACGCUGGCGGCAUGCCUUACACAUGCAAGUCGAACGGCAGCACGGGAGCAAUCCUGGUGGCGAGUGGCGAACGGGUGAGUAAUAUAUCGGAACGUGCCCAGUCGUGGGGGAUAACGUAGCGAAAGCUACGCUAAUACCGCAUACGAUCUAUGGAUGAAAGCGGGGGAUCGCAGGACCUCGCGCGAUUGGAGCGGCCGAUAUCAGAUUAGGUAGUUGGUGAGGUAAAGGCUCACCAAGCCGACGAUCUGUAGCUGGUCUGAGAGGACGACCAGCCACACUGGGACUGAGACACGGCCCAGACUCCUACGGGAGGCAGCAGUGGGGGAAUUUUUGGGACAAUGGGCGCAAGCCUGAUCCAGCAAUGCCGCGUGCAGGAUGAAGGCCUCGGUUGUAAC
RNAcentral lists this ribosomal RNA (400 nucleotides) under uncultured bacterium. Its description in RNAcentral is "bacterial SSU rRNA". It matches the Rfam family "Bacterial small subunit ribosomal RNA", at positions 30 to 429 of the family's 1533-position model. The record is from RNAcentral.